UUAUUUGAGAGUUUGAUCCUGGCUCAGGAUGAACGCUGGCGGCGUGCCUAACACAUGCAAGUUGAGCGAUUUACUUCGGUAAAGAGCAGCGGACGGGUGAGUAACGCGUGGGUAACCUACCCUGUACACACGGAUAACAUACCGAAAGGUAUGCUAAUACGGGAUGACAUAUUUGAGAGGCAUCUCUUGAAUAUCAAAGGUGAGCCAGUACAGGAUGGACCCGCGUCUGAUUAGCUAGUUGGUAAGGUAAUGGCUUACCAAGGCGACGAUCAGUAGCCGACCUGAGAGGGUGAUCGGCCACAUUGGAACUGAGACACGGUCCAAACUCCUACGGGAGGCAGCAGUGGGGAAUAUUGCACAAUGGGCGAAAGCCUGAUGCAGCAACGCCGCGUGAGUGAUGAAGGCCUUCGGGUCGUAAAACUCUGUCCUCAAGGAAGAUAAUGACGGUACUUGAGGAGGAAGCCCCGGCUAACUACGUGCCAGCAGCCGCGGUAAUACGUAGGGGGCUAGCGUUAUCCGGAUUUACUGGGCGUAAAGGGUGCGUAGGCGGUU
This 552-nucleotide ribosomal RNA is filed under the name Clostridioides difficile. Its description in RNAcentral is "bacterial SSU rRNA". It matches the Rfam family "Bacterial small subunit ribosomal RNA", at positions 1 to 580 of the family's 1533-position model. The record is from RNAcentral. Lineage: Bacteria; Bacillati; Bacillota; Clostridia; Peptostreptococcales; Peptostreptococcaceae.